This 433-nucleotide ribosomal RNA is filed under the name uncultured bacterium. RNAcentral describes it as "partial 16S ribosomal RNA". It matches the Rfam family "Bacterial small subunit ribosomal RNA", at positions 29 to 507 of the family's 1533-position model. The record is from RNAcentral.
AAUGAACGCUGGCGGCAUGCCUAACACAUGCAAGUCGAACGAAAGCUUCGGACUUAGUGGCGCACGGGUGCGGAAAGCGUGGGAAUCUGCCCCUUGGCUCGGAAUAACAGUUAUAAAUGACUGCUAAUACCGGAAGAUGACGUAAGUCCAAAGAUUUAUCGCCGAGGGAUGAGCCCGCGUAGGAUUAGCUAGUUGGUGUGGUAAGAGCGCACCAAGGCGACGAUCCUUAGCUGGUCUGAGAGGAUGAUCAGCCACACUGGGACUGAGACACGGCCCAGACUCCUACGGGAGGCAGCAGUGGGGAAUAUUGGACAAUGGGCGAAAGCCUGAUCCAGCAAUGGCGCGUGAGUGAUGAAGGCCUUAGGGUUGUAAAGCACUUUUACCCGGGAUGAUAAUGACAGUACCGAGAGAAUAAGCUCCGGCUAACUCCGUG